Molecule: long non-coding RNA, 223 nt
Filed under: Mytilus galloprovincialis (Mediterranean mussel)
Lineage: Eukaryota; Metazoa; Mollusca; Bivalvia; Mytilida; Mytilidae
Source: RNAcentral
GUGCCCUUUGGCAUCAAAAGUAUGAUUAAUGAUUUAAAUUAAUGACAAUAUUAUUGUGCAAUAAGAUGCAUAUAAUAAAUGAAUAUUUACUUUUUGAUAUCACGCAUAACCGCACAUUACAUUUUUUUGAAAAACAACAACAUACUUUACGGUUUAUUGAACCCUGCUUUUUAGGUUCAUAAGUGCAUAUGUGUAUAGGUUAAACCUAUUUAAAAGAAUAUUU